GGAAGUAAAAAUCGUAACAAGGUCUCCGUUGGUGAACCAGCGG
Molecule: ribosomal RNA, 43 nt
Filed under: Leptosporella bambusae
Lineage: Eukaryota; Fungi; Ascomycota; Sordariomycetes; Chaetosphaeriales; Leptosporellaceae
Description: partial 18S ribosomal RNA
Source: RNAcentral